CGUAGGUGGCAAGCGUUGUCCGGAAUUAUUGGGCGUAAAGCGCGCGCAGGCGGUCCUUUAAGUCUGAUGUGAAAGCCCACGGCUCAACCGUGGAGGGUCAUUGGAAACUGGGGGGCUUGAGUACAGAAGAGAAGAGUGGAAUUCCACGUGUAGCGGUGAAAUGCGUAGAGAUGUGGAGGAACACCAGUGGCGAAGGCGACUCUUUGGUCUGUAACUGACGCUGAGGCGCGAAAGCGUGGGGAGCAAACAGGAUUAGAUACCCUGGUAGUCCACGCUGUAAACGAUGAGUGCUAAGUGUUAGAGGGUUUCCGCCCUUUAGUGCUGCAGCUAACGCAUUAAGCACUCCGCCUGGGGAGUACGGCCGCAGGGCUG
This 372-nucleotide ribosomal RNA is filed under the name uncultured organism. RNAcentral's name for it is "bacterial SSU rRNA". It matches the Rfam family "Bacterial small subunit ribosomal RNA", at positions 526 to 896 of the family's 1533-position model. The record is from RNAcentral.